GAUGAAGAACGUAGCGAAAUGCGAUACGUAAUGUGAAUUGCAGAAUUCAGUGAAUCAUCGAGUCUUUGAACGCACAUUGCGCCCCCUGGUAUUCCGGGGGGCAUGCCUGUCCGAGCGUCAUUGCUGCCCUCAAGCACGGCUUGUGUGUUGGGCCUCCGUCCUCCUCCCGGGGGACGGGCCCGAAAGGCAGCGGCGGCACCGAGUCCGGUCCUCGAGCGUAUGGGGCUUUGUCACCCGCUCUGUAGGCCCGGCCGGCGCCAGCCGACAACCAAUCAUCCUUUUUUCAGGUUGACCUCGGAUCAGGUAGGGAUACCCGCUGAACUUAAGCAUAUCAAUAAGCGGAGGA
RNAcentral lists this unclassified non-coding RNA (346 nucleotides) under soil metagenome. Its description in RNAcentral is "partial contains 5.8S ribosomal RNA, internal transcribed spacer 2, and large subunit ribosomal RNA". The stretch from base 1 to 120 matches the Rfam family "5.8S ribosomal RNA", at positions 35 to 154 of the family's 154-position model. The record is from RNAcentral.